This 330-nucleotide ribosomal RNA is filed under the name Triticum aestivum (bread wheat). RNAcentral describes it as "partial small subunit ribosomal RNA". Lineage: Eukaryota; Viridiplantae; Streptophyta; Magnoliopsida; Poales; Poaceae. The record is from RNAcentral.
AUGCGACGCGGACGGGGUCUACGGCGCCAGCGGGAUGGCUUCCCGUUCAGCCGCGACCAGUGCCCAUGUAGCUGCAGGGCGCUUGCCGCGUAUGGCACCUCGACGAUCCAUAUAGGCGGCGACGCCCCUGAAGGUCGAUCUAGCGCCGGUGCCGGUGCCGUUACUAUGUCCUGUGCCCAAGUCGCUACACGGCGCGAGCGGCUCCCUCGUGGGCGUGCCGAACCGAGGGAUCGACGAAGGGCUCGCGGACUAGGAUGCGCCUGGCGCGACAGAAUACCUGACGGGCAUGCUCAAGGUCGCCGCACAAUACGCGGCAAGAUCCCAUCCUAG